Long non-coding RNA from Mytilus californianus (California mussel), 1330 nucleotides. RefSeq lists it as uncharacterized. The record is from RefSeq and is a predicted model, not a curated record. Lineage: Eukaryota; Metazoa; Mollusca; Bivalvia; Mytilida; Mytilidae. The transcript is spliced from 4 exons.
CCUCUUUAGUGUAAACUAAAAAGAUGAAUAAUGGUCUGCAGUAAAUAUAUCCCCUUACAACCUUUUCUUUCAUGUUAAUUUUAAUAUCUUUAAGAUAUGUGACAAGGGUGCUCUAAUGCAGAGGAAUUUACGAAGUUAAGAAGUUAGAAAUAUAUUUUUUGCACUUUUUUUGUCAUUUUUAGCUUAUUUUGGUUUGUAACCAAGGUGAUAAUUUUUUAAAGAAUAAUUUUACAAAAGGCAUAGUUGAAGAACAUCUUGUUGAAAUUGGAUUGGUUGAUUUUUGGUGUUAAACACCACUUUAACAUGAUUUACUAUAAUUUUGGCUGUAAAUUUUUAUUUGUGGAGACAGCCAGAGUGCCUGGUGAAAACAUCACCUUCAUCAGGGAAACGGGCAAACCCUAGUCAAAUUAAGAAUGAAGUUACACAUUUCAUGUGAGGGUUCUCAGUGUUGACAAGCUAGUGAUACAGUAGUUGAACUACUUAUAGGACCACUCUGCCACCAUAAGUCGAUCAGUAUGAAAUAUUUUAUUGAAAUGUGUUAGAUUUUUGUUAUCAAUCUAUUUUUUAAUUUCAAUUGUACUAUUUUAUUUAUUUUGUUUAAUAUAACAAGGAUGUGGAGUCCAAACAGGGUGAAAUUUGGGUCAAAGGGAGGCAAUUUAUUAUACCCCUGUUUAACUCCACAUACUUGAAAUUCCCUCAAUGUUAGGAUUUUCAUCUACUUGGAUAUUCAUGUUUGUACAUUUUUUUUUAAUAUCAGAUGUAUACUAGCUAAUAUUGACUAUUAUUUAGAGCUCUGUAAUAAAAAAAAAAAAAUGUAAGCAGAGCUCUAGAUAAUAAGUAUGCAGGGUGGGAGAAAUCUUGGGUCAUUAACAAUUGAUUUGCUGAAAUUUUCAAGAAAGGGGAUUUAUUGGAAAUGCAUCUGAUAUAUUUAAUGUAUAAAACUAUAUUUAAAAAAAAAAGAUGUUAAGAUGAUGAGGAGAGCCACCUUGUCAGCCGGGAGAGCAGCUCUAAGGGAGAUGGUCAAUUUAAUCUUCACCAAGUCUGAGGCUUUACCAUGAAAAAUAUGUGGUUGUUAUAAUGAUGAUGUUUUCAUGGUGUUGGGAGUAAGACUUGGAUGUCUGAUAUUGUUAACAUGUUGGUUAGCAUCAGGUUUCCAUUGGGUUACUUGCUGGGAUAAAGCUGUUAUAAGUCGAAAGAGUUGCUGUUGCUGCCUUCCUUGUAUGGUAAAAUCCUCAGACUACAAUCCUGCAAACCAUUGGAUGAACUGUUGCUAUCUUUUGUAAAAAAAUCGGAUAUUUGUCUUAAAAGCAGAAUGAAUUAUAAAUGCAAU